AAAAAGACAAACCCUAGUUUCCGUGUCCAAUGUUUGACCGUCCGUCUUAUUUGAAAAAAAUAUAAAAAAAUUAAAAAGACAAGUCACGCAUAAAAUAUUAAUCAUGUUUUAUCAUCUAACAACAAUGAAAAUACGAAUUAUAAAAAAAUUUCAUAUAAGACGGACGGUCAAAGUUGGACACGAAAAUUCAGGGUUUGUUUUUUU
This 204-nucleotide microRNA precursor is filed under the name Oryza sativa Indica Group (long-grained rice). RNAcentral describes it as "MIR812 microRNA precursor family". It matches the Rfam family "MIR812 microRNA precursor family". Lineage: Eukaryota; Viridiplantae; Streptophyta; Magnoliopsida; Poales; Poaceae. The record is from Rfam by way of RNAcentral.